This 493-nucleotide ribosomal RNA is filed under the name uncultured bacterium. RNAcentral describes it as "partial 16S ribosomal RNA". It matches the Rfam family "Bacterial small subunit ribosomal RNA", at positions 28 to 506 of the family's 1533-position model. The record is from RNAcentral.
GACGAACGCUGGCGGCGUGCUUAACACAUGCCAGUCGAACGGUGAAGCGCCUUCCUUUUUGGUGGGUGUGGAUGAGUGGCGAACGGGUGAGUAACACGUGAGUAACCUGCCCCCUUCUUCUGGAUAACCGCAUGAAAGUGUGGCUAAUACGGGAUAUUCUGGGUCUGUCGCAUGAUGGGUCUGGGAAAGAUAUUGUUUCGGUGGGGGAUGGGCUCGCGGCCUAUCAGCUUGUUGGUGGGGUGAUGGCCUACCAAGGCGGUGACGGGUAGCCGGCCUGAGAGGGUGGACGGUCACACUGGGACUGAGACACGGCCCAGACUCCUACGGGAGGCAGCAGUGGGGAAUAUUGCACAAUGGGCGCAAGCCUGAUGCAGCGACGCCGCGUGAGGGAUGGAGGCCUUCGGGUUGUGAACCUCUUUCGCCAGUGAAGCAGGCCUGCCUCGUUUGUGGGUGGGUUGACGGUAGCUGGAUAAGAAGCGCCGGCUAACUACGU